GACGAACGCUGGCGGCGUGCUUAACACAUGCAAGUGGAGCGACGAACCAGGGCUUGCCCUGGGGCAAAGCCGCGAACGGGUGAGUAACACGUGGGUAACCUGCCCCGAUGACCGGGACGAACCCGACGGAAACUACGGGCGUAAUACCGGAUGAGCUCCUACCACAUGAGUGGUUUGAGGAAAGGAAGCUUCGGCCUCCGCAUCGGGA
RNAcentral lists this ribosomal RNA (208 nucleotides) under uncultured bacterium. RNAcentral's name for it is "partial 16S ribosomal RNA". It matches the Rfam family "Bacterial small subunit ribosomal RNA", at positions 28 to 225 of the family's 1533-position model. The record is from RNAcentral.